This 253-nucleotide ribosomal RNA is filed under the name uncultured bacterium. Its description in RNAcentral is "partial 16S ribosomal RNA". It matches the Rfam family "Bacterial small subunit ribosomal RNA", at positions 524 to 776 of the family's 1533-position model. The record is from RNAcentral.
UACGAAGGGGGCUAGCGUUGUUCGGAAUUACUGGGCGUAAAGCGCGCGCAGGCGGUUCUCCAAGUCAGUGGUGAAAUCCCGGGGCUCAACCUCGGAAUGGCCUUCAAAACUCCUGAUCUUGAGUUCGAGAGAGGUGAGUGGAAUUCCGAGUGUAGAGGUGAAAUUCGUAGAUAUUCGGAGGAACACCAGUGGCGAAGGCGGCUCACUGGCUCGAUACUGACGCUGAGGUGCGAAAGCGUGGGGAGCAAACAGG